AUGAGUGGCAGACGGGUGAGUAACGCGUGAGCAACCUACCUCUUACAAAGGGAUAGCCUCGGGAAACCGGGAUUAAUACCAUAUAACAUUGCGACGAAGCAUUUCGAUGCAAUCAAAGCUACGGCGGUAAGAGAUGGGCUCGCGUCCCAUUAACCAGAUGGUGAGGUAACGGCUCACCAUAGUAACGAUGGGUAACCGGCCUGAGAGGGUGAACGGUCACACUGGAACUGAGACACGGUCCAGACUCC
This 248-nucleotide ribosomal RNA is filed under the name uncultured bacterium. Its description in RNAcentral is "partial 16S ribosomal RNA". It matches the Rfam family "Bacterial small subunit ribosomal RNA", at positions 91 to 339 of the family's 1533-position model. The record is from RNAcentral.